AGAGUUUGAUCAUGGCUCAGAUUGAACGCUGGCGGUAUGCCUAACACAUGCAAGUCGAACGAGGUAGCAAUACCUAGUGGCGGACGGGUGAGGAAUACGUAGGGAUCUGCCCUUAAGUGGGGGAUAACCCGGGGAAACCCGGAUUAAUACCGCAUGAUCUCGCAAGAGCAAAGAGGGGGACCGCAAGGCCUCUCGCUUUUGGAGGAACCUACGUCGGAUUAGCUAGUUGGUGAGGUAAUGGCUCACCAAGGCGACGAUCCGUAACUGGUCUGAGAGGAUGAUCAGUCACACCGGAACUGAGACACGGUCCGGACUCCUACGGGAGGCAGCAGUGGGGAAUAUUGGACAAUGGGCGAAAGCCUGAUCCAGCAAUACCGCGUUUGUGAAGAAGGCCUUCGGGUUGUAAAGCACUUUAAGUUGGGAAGAAAAAGCUUCACCUAAUACGUGAAGCCUUGACGGUACCGACAGAAUAAGCACCGGCUAACUCUGUGCCAGCAGCCGCGGUAAUACAGAGGGUGCUAGCGUUAAUCGGAUUUACUGGGCGUAAAGCGUGCGUAGGUGGUUUGAUAAGUCGAUUGUGAAAGCCCCGGGCUUAACCUGGGAAUUGCGGUCGAUACUGUCAGACUCGAAAACGGUAGAGGGAGGUGGAACUCCAGGUGUAGCGGUGAAAUGCGUAGAUAUCUGGAAGAACACCGAUGGCGAAGGCAGCCUCCUGGGCCUGUUUUGACACUGAGGCACGAAAGCGUGGGUAGCAAACAGGAUUAGAUACCCCGGUAGUCC
RNAcentral lists this ribosomal RNA (780 nucleotides) under uncultured bacterium. RNAcentral describes it as "bacterial SSU rRNA". It matches the Rfam family "Bacterial small subunit ribosomal RNA", at positions 8 to 796 of the family's 1533-position model. The record is from RNAcentral.